AUGCUGCUGCAGAGGGAGCCUAAAUGUCUCUUCAUCACACUGUGGAUUCCCCCACCUGCCUCACCCAUAGCCACCUGCAGUAGGGCUGGGAUGGGGGAUCAGGCUAGCCAUAACCUCUUUAUUGAGGCCCAGGUUGCAGAUAGUGUGCAGAAUCAGGUUACCAAGUCGGAACUUCCUCAGAUAGCCAACCCCCUGCCGGCGAUCUCUGAGGCGGCGCCCCACUCUGUGCUGGUAGAGAGUGGGUCUGUGGUCUAUGAUGAUGUGGGAGAUAAGGAGGAUGAGGAAGAGCCCUGCGUCAGCGCCAUGCAGCUGUUGGGAGGCAACGAGUAUGGAUGUGUUGACGAUGAUGGAUUCUAGCACUACUGGGUCUGGCCUGUUUCUCUGGACUGUUGUGCUACUGUAUCAGCCCUCCGACCCCUGUCCACAGACUUACACAUGACGCAUGACUUGUAUGCUCUCAGGGAGGUUGGAGGUGAUGACGAGGGUCCGUUUCUCCUCAGGAUAUCUCCUGUAACUAUGAAAGAGGUUUUGGGUAGUAUUGUGCUGGAUCUAACAAAGAGACAUUAUGGUUAGUCUAUCUUCCUUCCUACAUUUCACAGGUCACUCAAGUACAGUGCCUUGCGAAAGUAUUCGGCCCCCUUGAACUUUGCGACCUUUUGCCACAUUUCAGGCUUCAAACAUAAAGAUAUAAAACUGUAUUUUUUUGUGAAGAAUCAACAACAAGUGGGACACAAUCAUGAAGUGGAAUGACAUUUAUUGGAUAUUUCAAACUUUUUUAACAAAUCAAAAACUGAAAAAUUGGGCGUGCAAAAUUAUUCAGCCCCUUUACUUUCAGUGCAGCAAACUCUCUCCAGAAGUUCAGUGAGGAUCUCUGAAUGAUCCAAUGUUGACCUAAAUGACUAAUGAUGAUAAAUACAAUCCACCUGUGUGUAAUCAAGUCUCCGUAUAAAUGCACCUGCACUGUGAUAGUCUCAGAGGUCCAUUAAAAGCGCAGAGAGCAUCAUGAAGAACAAGGAACACACCAGGCAGGUCCGAGAUACUGUUGUGAAGAAGUUUAAAGCCGGAUUUGGAUACAAAAAUAUUUCCCAAGCUUUAAACAUCCCAAGGAGCACUGUGCAAGCGAUAAUAUUGAAAUGGAAGGAGUAUCAGACCAAAGUUCAAGGGGGCCGAAUACUUUCGCAAGGCACUGUAUAUGUUGCCCCCCCCCCCACCUCUAUGAUGGCCAAUUCUGUCUCUGUAUUCUUCACAUGAAAGUACACUACCUAAUGGUGAGAUGUGUUGGGAACAAUUGUCUCUCCCAGCUAAUAUGAGAACGGGUAUUAGUGUUGCAGGAAUUAAAUUGCUCUGUUUUAACACCCAAUUAAAAUUAAACACUUAAACACUGUCAAUUCAUAAGGAUUUGUAAGACCCUUAUUCUAUAGUAAUGGACAGAGCCCAGUCUUAAAGUCAAACAGCAGAUUUUAUUCACGAGUACUGAACACAAUACAGUUUACCACCGGGUUAUAAACUGAAAAUGACGUCAUUAGUUUUCGAACUGUCCCGUCUCUUCUCCCAACCUGGUACAAAGGCCGUAUCUCAAGCCUUCCCACAUCGUCUCCCUACCAAUUUAAUAUCAUUUAUGACCGAGCCAAGGUCUUCUUGUGUAGAUAAGCAUUCUAGCCAGUCUGAAGAUAUAGUUCAUUCAUUUCUACCAAGGAACAGACAGUCAUUGUUCUAAUUCUUGAUUAUAUUUACACACAUUAUAUUCAGUACUAGGAUUAAAAAGAAAAUUUGUACAUAUACAGUAACAUAAUAGUAUUCUGAUUAGUACAUAUACAGUAACAUAAUAGUAUUCUGAUUAGUCAGUCCUGAUUGAAAUGUAUACAUAAUUAGUCAUUAUUGAUAAAAAUUCCCUUAACAAUUAGUCCAAUCAGUAUUACGAACAAAUAAUGAAAAAUCUGUAUGGGAGUUUACUUCUCGAAAACAAAAUAUUGCAUUAAUGUUGCCUUGAAUAUGCCAAACCAUAUGGCGUAUGUUUUUCAGUUGAACUGGUAGCAUUUUUUUUUUUUAAUUCAACGCUGUUAUUUCUUGCAUUAUGUGGUGUGAUUUCUCAUGACAUUCUUUAUGGAGAAAUAUUCUACAAAAUGUUUUGAAGGGAUCAGGAAGUGUUAAUCAUUUGUACGUAGAACUGGCAAAUAUCUGAAAUAUUGUUGAUGAUAAACAAAGCAAUCUUAUGCAUUCCUAAUUAAUGACAUAAUUGUGUUCUGGGUUUAUUUUGUAAAUGAGCUUUUAUGGUUAUAUAUUUUUAAAUGUUGAUUGGGAGGAUUAAUGGUGAUUUGUUCAAUAUGUUGUUGAUGUACAACUGUAUUUAAGGAGGUGAGGAAAUUGCUAAUUUUCCCAGCCCUCUCUCUCCUUUUUGCUGCUACUGUACGUGUGUGAAAGUGUUGCCUCAGUAAAUCUCCUACCAACAGGAAACCUAUGUUCUUGUUCUCUUUUUCUUUCUGACAUCUUGGCUAGUAUUAUCUUUGAUCUUGGGUUGACAUUAUUGUCAGAACAGCCUUUAGUCACAGUCUGGUUUAGUCAUACAAUACUUUUAUUAUAGGAAAACUAUCACAUAAACUGAGGUAAAUAUUAGAGUAGCCUAGCUGCUGGCUAAAAGCCAUCAACUGAGCAUCUCCAAUUGGAUAAAGCAAGGUUUAGAAAAGUUAAUGUGGAGAAGCAUUAAGCUGGAAUGACCCACUUGUGUCUUUAAUAUACUUUUUUUCUAUGUGCUUUUAUGGUGGUAUAGGUUAUCAAGGCUAUCAGAUAUCACUCUUGGCGAAAGUGUGUGUGGUUUUAACUCUAUGGAGAGGUCUGUGUCGCCUCUCCCCCGCACAGGGAACCGGACACUGAGAGAGUCUGUAUCUGGGCAGGCAUUUUGGAACAUUACCACACCUCAGUCACAUCAUCCUCUUCUCGCUUCAUUACCAGGGGAACCCAACCUCUCACUCAGGUGGGGGAUUUGCAGCACCAUUGUGUAAAGAGAUCAAAUUCUACUCCUUCAAAGCCUGUAGUGUAGGCUAUUUCUCUGCUGCUUGCAGUUGAAUUUUAUGUUAUCUGGUAUACUGUUUUUAUGGUUUUAUAAUGCUCUUUAAAAUGGCCACCCUGUAAAGUUGUCUUUGUUGGGGUUAAUAUCACUCCCUUCUUGUCAUCUAAAUCUUCAUAUUUUACACAAAACUUUGACUGAUAUUUACAGUUAAAGAAUUUCUACAUGUAUUAUUCUUUCAGUUUGGUAACUCCACUCACCGUUUACUGUCUGUUGAAGGAAACUGUUGUUGGUUAUGCAGUUUUGUGGUGUACUGUGACCUUACUGCUCUUUCACAGUGCUACCAGAGGCAUAGAGGCC
Molecule: long non-coding RNA, 3364 nt
Filed under: Oncorhynchus mykiss (rainbow trout)
Lineage: Eukaryota; Metazoa; Chordata; Actinopteri; Salmoniformes; Salmonidae
Description: lncRNA (ENSOMYG00000068729.1)
Source: RNAcentral